CAUUUUAAAGGUAGUAGGGGGUUAAGGCCAUAGUUGCUCUUUGGCCCAUCGAUAGUUGUUUCCCAAAUAUUUGGCCUUCGAAAUUUUUUUUAUCUUUUUUUCCUUUUCCCUCCAAUUUCAAUCACACAUAAGCAAGCCAUCAUUACCACUAAUCCACUCCCCCACAUCACCCCAUUACUUUAUCGUCGUGUUAUUUUUCUU
This 201-nucleotide long non-coding RNA is filed under the name Gossypium barbadense (sea-island cotton). RNAcentral's name for it is "long non-coding RNA (GBAR_LNC000637)". Lineage: Eukaryota; Viridiplantae; Streptophyta; Magnoliopsida; Malvales; Malvaceae. The record is from RNAcentral.